AAAAGCAAGCACAUUUACUUCCCAGGUUGUUAUAAUUAAACUAAAGAACAAAAUAUAUUUGAGUAGUAGAAAGGCAGUAAUCAAAUGUGUCCUCUUUUCAGGGGAAGGUGAGUCAGCAUCCCUGUUAUCUGAUUGUUUACUCUGAUAUUCAAAUAUUGGCUGGAGGGUUGAGGUAGAUGCCAACAAAGGGCUCUUGAACCUUGGAAAUUAUUGUUGUAUCAGGGACUGAGCAGCAAAAUUCAUGUUAAAUGCAGAUUUCCUGAGUCCUACCCUAAGAUUUCAUUAUGUAAACACGGACUUAAGCCCAGGAAUCCAGAUUUUUAUAAGAACCUUGUUGAUUCUGAUCUAAAUGGUUUGAGGACUCCACUUUAAGAAAUACUCUACUAGAGAGGUAGUCUAAAGUACAUCUCUUCUACAGGGGAAAAUCCUUUAUGGGGCAGGAGUAAUACUUUAGAACUUUUAAAGUUUGUCUUUUUUUUUAAAUUAGAGUAUAGUUUUUUACAGUGUUGUAUCACUUUCUGCUAUACAACAUAGUGUCCCAGUCAUGUAUAUAUGAUUUUUUCACAUACUAUCUUCUAUUAUGUUCUACCUCAAGAGAUUGGAUAUAGUUCCCUGUUCUGUACAGUAGGACCUCAUUGCUUAUCCAUUGUAAAUAUAAUAGUUUGCAUCUACUAACCGUAAACUCCUAGUUCAUCCCACUCCCCCUCCCCCAUCCCCAAGCAAGCACAACUCUGCUCUCCAUGUCCAUGAUCUGUUUCUGUUUUGUAGAAAUUUUCGUACUAAGUGAAGUAAGUAAAAGACAAAUAUCACGAUAGCACCUAUAUGUGUAACCUAAAAUAUGGCCAAAAUUUAUCUUAACAAAGGACAGUUCUUAAGCUAUGCUGCUGUUUGGCACUGGUGUGUUCUUCAAACCUAUAUGACAGUCAGCUGGUCAUAUCCUAGGCAAAGUAUUUAAAAUCCUGAUGAAUUGAAUAGGGGUAGAAGUUGCUUGGAGUUUAGCCUACUCUGAUCUAGUAAGAUUUAUGUUGCCUGGGUAAAUGGAUUUAAGGGUCAGUGAUCUUGUUUAAUUAAACUACUCCUCACUCCUCACAACAUGGGCAAGUGACUCAAACAUAUAUUUUACAAAUAACCCUUGAAUUGAUGAUAAUGCCAAAGGAACAUCUACAAGGGUGCAAAAGAAAAUGGCAAUGCUGGCAAUUGUCCUAUUCAUUCAAAACUCCUGGUCAGCUGCAUCAAGGGGGUAAAAAAUAAAAGUCUAAUCAGAUAUGAUUACCAAGAAGACUAUUUCAAAUAUGGAUUUACAGCCACAUCAUUAAUAAUGCUCACAUCAUGUUAUGAGAGAACAAUAAUGUCAUUAUGAUCAAGAGGGCAGAAUAUCAAUUAGAGAAGCACUAGCACAAUGGGAGAAUAUAGUGUAGAGGUUAGGACCCAGAUGCUAAGGUCAGACUAUUAGGUUUGAAAUCAGGUUCUGCUGCUUACAAGCUGUAUGACCUUGGUUGAAUUACAUGCCCUACAACUCAGUUUUCCCAUCUGUAAAAGGGGGAUUGAAAACAGAGCCUACCUAAUCCCACCUAUGAGGAUUAAAGGAGUUAAUAUGUUUAACAGCCUCUGCUGUUGGAAAAGCACUAGAUAUAAAAGCAGAAAUAUAGCAUGUUUUGACAAUUUUCUCUAUACAUCUCUUUGGUGUGUUAAACAUUCUGACAUCAUUGUUGCUUUAUUUCACUUCCUUUCCUACCUUUUUAUUCUAAGAAAAAGGCAUGCCAAGAUAUUACCUGAAAAAUUGUAUGGAAAGGUGCUAGUUCAGAAGAAUGAAUUUCUGAGGUCUUGCUUGCUCCUUGCUCCUUUUCCCUCUCCACUUGGUGUCCAGCUCUCUACCCCAGGGCUUCUCUUCCUGAGCAGGAAAUCUCCCCUGAAUCAGGCAUACCCAGACCACGUGGACAAUAGUUGUAAACAUGCACACUUCUUCCCUUUUCACUCAGUAUAGUUGGGGACGCUGAAUUUUUUUUUCUUCCCCAAAAAGAACGUGAUUGAGAAGGAUAUAAAAAGGAAUAGACAAAGGUGACACCAAAUGAUCAAAACAGGUGGGACUAGUGGAUCUUUCUUUCAAUCACCAUUUACUGAAUACACGGCCCUCCAUCUUUUUUCUCAAUCUGUUUUAGCCAACCCAAGGUGGCUUCAGGUGGAAUCCCUUGAGCCUCCCCAGUGCCUAAUUUCCAGCUGUCAUUGCCUAGAAGUCAGAGUCUAGAUUCUGUAAACUGUUGCUUAGUUUCCUCUAUAUUCUAAUUCUGCCUUAUGGGCUCAUGUGCAGGAUUGCACUGGAAGACCCUAAAUGUCCCCUUCAACUUUCUCUUCCCAUCUCUCCCAGUAGGUGCGUCUCCAAAAUUUUUGCUUACCAGUGCCCAAACGCAUCAGGCUUUGCAUAUGGCCUUUUCCUUGAGUCUUCCCCACUCUUUGCUGAUACAAAUCCUAUCUGACUUCCUAGGACCCCCUCAAAUCUUUCCUUUUCUGAGGGACCCUCAAGACCAGGGCAAAAAGAAACCUCUGGGGUAGCUCAAAUCACAACACAGAGGCUGGCUGUCUACUUUGUCUGUAGGACUGCACUGUAGAUGUCCAAGUGGGACUGCCUGAUCUGGAACAGAGGCUUCAGGGGACAGUUCUCAGGUGCCUGUCUUUCUAACAUGGCUCGUCAAUAUCCAGAACCAUCUUAAAGAUGAACAUAUCUUCCAUAUCACUGAACUGUUGCAUUUCCAAUUUGGAAAAGAAUCUCUCUUCUUUCUAACUCCACCCAAAGCAUGAGUCCCCUCUGAGCAACCCAGGGCACCACAUGGUGGUGACCUCACUAGCUCUCUAGGCAUCUCUUCCCCCAAAGCAGAAUGCCUUCCAUUUUUUAAGAAUUGAUAUCGCAGAACACAGUUUGAAUUUCAAGACAACACAACAUAGAGUCAAAAAAGAAAUUAAGCUUAAACUAGUGAUAUAUUUGGAACAUAAUCAAUCAUAGUGUUUGGGUGCUCUGGAAACACAUAUUGAAUAUAGCCAGAUUACCGAGUUUUAACAUUUGUUUAAUAUGCAUGCUUGGCUAUUUUAUCCUCCAAAUGAAUGCAGAAAAGAUAAUGUCCUUUGAAAUACAUGGACUUGUCUUGGGAAACAUGGGGUGUUCUAAAAUGGCGAAUGGCCAGAGGGGGCAGAGAACCCUGGUUCUUGUCUAAAAUCUAAACUUCUGGUCAGUGGUCGACUUGGUAAGCUUAAGCUGUUAAAUUCACUGGUUCCAUUGACAUUAUGCUUGUUACUGUGUAAAAUAUACACAUACAUUAACUUUUCCUUUGGGACAUACAUGGUAGAUGGGGAAUUCUUGUUGACAGUGUUGAUUAGCUCACUUUAAAUGUGUGAACAUUUGUGAUUUCUUUACUAGUUUUCAAUGCUUUAGUAUUAUCUUCAUCUUCAUAGCUCGUCCUAGUUUCAGGGGAAUCCUAUUACUCAGAUGAGUUGUCAAAGGCCUGUGUCAGCCACGUUCUUCAGCUUCCACUUGUUCCAGAGUCUCAGAUUGAGUUUCCACACUUGGCUUCAUCUGCCAGCACUGAUUCCUUCACUGAUUUAUCUUUCUAUGCAGGGGUUGAUGGCAGUGAGGGCAUGUUCAAGGCCUUAACACACUCCUUGGAUAUAAAUAAGCAUUUUAUUAAAUGCUUUAAGUGAACUAAAAAUGAAAGACAAAAAAUAGGUGAGGAGUUCAUGCUGCAGCCCUGUGGGUUAUGAAUCUGAUUGCAGCAGCUUGAGUCAUGGGUUCAAUCCCUGGCCCAGCAGAGUGACUAAAGGAUCCA
This 3815-nucleotide long non-coding RNA is filed under the name Sus scrofa (pig). RNAcentral's name for it is "lncRNA (ENSSSCG00000057118.1)". The record is from RNAcentral. Lineage: Eukaryota; Metazoa; Chordata; Mammalia; Artiodactyla; Suidae.